UGGGGAAUUUUGGACAAUGGGCGAAAGCCUGAUCCAGCCAUGCCGCGUGCAGGAUGAAGGCCUUCGGGUUGUAAACUGCUUUUGUACGGAACGAAAAGACUCUGGUUAAUACCUGGGGUCCAUGACGGUACCGUAAGAAUAAGCACCGGCUAACUACGUGCCAGCGGCCGCGGUAAUACGUAGGGUGCAAGCGUUAAUCGGAAUUACUGGGCGUAAAGCGUGCGCAGGCGGUUAUAUAAGACAGAUGUGAAAUCCCCGGGCUCAACCUGGGAACUGCAUUUGUGACUGUAUAGCUAGAGUACGGGCAGAGGGGGGAUGGAAUUUCCCGCGUGUAGCAGUGAAAUGCGUAGAUAUGCGGAGGAACACCGAUGGCGAAGGCAAUCCCCUGGGCCUGUACUGACGCUCAUGCACGAAAGCGUGGGGAGCAAACAGGAUUAGAUACCCUGGUAGUCCACGCCCUAAACGAUGUCAACUGGGUUGUUGGGUCUUCACUGACUCAGUAACGAAGCUAACGCGUGAAGUUG
This 524-nucleotide ribosomal RNA is filed under the name uncultured bacterium. Its description in RNAcentral is "partial 16S ribosomal RNA". It matches the Rfam family "Bacterial small subunit ribosomal RNA", at positions 355 to 867 of the family's 1533-position model. The record is from RNAcentral.